UGGCCCUAAGUCAAGAGGAAGACCAGCGGACUUAAGACCCCGAGAGUCGAUGCUGGAGAGGCCGAGGAGGGAGGGGCCACCGGUGAUGAUCACUGAAACUGAGGAGCGAGGGGCCACCCGUGACAAUAACUGAGGCUUAAGAGCGAGGGGCCACCCGUGAAGAUCACCGAGGCUGAGGAGCGAGGGGCCACUCGUGACAAUCACUAAGCCUGUGUGUCUGCACCUGGUUACCAAGAAUUUGAGCACUUCCAUGGCAAAGACUUUACCUACAGACCCAUCUCCUCAGUCCUCUGGUACUCACAAUGGUGAAGCCAUCAUGAUGGACUAGUGACUUAUGAAAGAGUCCCGGGGAGCUGCCUGAGUCCUCAACUGUGCAGGUACACAAGAGAAGGCACCAUGUACUAAUGAGAAAGUACACUCUUACAACCCAGAACCACUAGCACCUUGAUCAUGAACUCAACAUGGAAUUCCUCUGGAAUUUCUGACAAAUAAAUAAUUGUUGUUCAUAAGUUACCCAA
This is a long non-coding RNA of Mastomys coucha (southern multimammate mouse), 518 nucleotides long. RefSeq lists it as uncharacterized. Lineage: Eukaryota; Metazoa; Chordata; Mammalia; Rodentia; Muridae. The record is from RefSeq and is a predicted model, not a curated record. The transcript has 3 exons.